This 1417-nucleotide ribosomal RNA is filed under the name uncultured Bordetella sp. RNAcentral describes it as "partial 16S-23S ribosomal RNA intergenic spacer". It matches the Rfam family "Bacterial small subunit ribosomal RNA". The record is from RNAcentral. Lineage: Bacteria; Pseudomonadati; Pseudomonadota; Betaproteobacteria; Burkholderiales; Alcaligenaceae.
AGUCAGGCGGCCACGGACUUCGGUCUGGUGGCGAGUGGCGAUGAGCGAUGUCACAUCGGACAUACUGUGGCGGGGAUAGCAAGCGUAGCUAAUACCGCAUACGCCCUUCGGGGAAAGCGGGGACCUUCGGGCCUCACACGCUGUCAGUGAUUAUCGGUUGGCUAGUUGGUGGGAGGUAACGUGGCGCCCAGGCGACGAUCCGUAGCUGGUUUGAGAGAGGACGACCAUUGCCGCACCUGGACUGGGACGACUGAGCUCUACGGGAGGCAGCAGUGGGAAUUUUGGACAAUGGGGAAACCUGAUCCAGCCAUCCCGCGUGUGCGAUGAAGACCUUCGGGUUGUAAAGCACUGACGUGGAAAGAAACGGCACGGGAUGGUGAUACCCCGUGCAACUGAUACCUGCAGAAUAAGCACCGGCUAACUACGUGCCAGCAGCCGCGGUAAUACGUAGGGCUGGCGUAUUAAUCGGAAUUACUGGGCGUAAAGCGUGCGCAGGCGGUUCGGAAAGAAAGAUGUGAAAUCCUGGAAACGCUUUGGAACUGCAUUUUUAACUACCGAGCUAGAGUGUGUCAGAGGAGGGAGUGGAAUUCCGCGUGUAGCAGUGAAAUGCGUAGAUGUGGAAGGAUGCAAUGGCGAAAACAGCCUCCUGGGAUAACAUGACGCUCAUGCACGAAAGCGUGAGGAACAAACUAAGGAUUAGAUACCCUGGUAGUCCACGCCCUAAACGAUGUCAACUAGCUGUUGGGGCCUUCGGGCCUUGGUAGCUGGCUAACAGCGGGGAUUGUUACCUGGGAAUGAUCAUGAGAUUAAAACUCAAAGGAAUUGACGGGGACCCGCACAAGCGGUGGAUGAUGGAUUAAUUCGAUGCAACGCGAAAAACCUUACCUACCCUUGACAUGUCUGGAAUCCCGAAGAGAUUUUGCGGGUGCUCGCAAGAGAACCGGAACACAGGUGCUGCAUGGCUGUCGUCAGCUCGUGUCGUGAGAUGCUGGUUGGUCUUACAGCGGGCGCAGCCCUUGUCAUUAGUUGCUACGAAAGGGCACUCUAAUGAGACUGCCGGUGAUAUGAAGCCGGAGGAAGGUGGGGAUGACGUCAGUCCUCAUGGCCCUUAUGGGUAGGGCUUUACGUCAUGCAAUGGUCGGGACAGAGGAUUAGCCAACCCGCGAGGGGGAGCCAAUCCCAGAAACCCGAUCGUAGUCCACAGGAUCUAUGAUCCUGCAGACUCAGCCCGCGUGAGAUCCCGAAUCGCUAAACAUGUCGCGGGAUCAAACCAUAUGCGAUUGAAUACGUUCCCGGGUCUUGUACACACCGCCCGUCACACCAUGGGAGUGGGUUUUACCAGAAGUAGUUAGCCUAACCGUAAGGAGGGCGAUUACCACGGUAGGACUAAGCUGGGGUGAAGUCGUAACAAGGUAAU